UACGUAGGGAGCGAGCGUUAUCCGGAAUUAUUGGGCGUAAAGGGUGCGUAGAUGGUUGAUAUAAGUCUUUUGUAAAAAUGCUAGGCUCAACCUAGUAGGGCAAAAGAUACUGAUGAACUAGAGUACGGCAGAGGCAAGUGGAACUACAUGUGUAGCGGUGAAAUGCAUAGAUAUCGCGCAGAACUCCGAUUGCGAAGGCAGCAUGCCGGCUCCACACUGACGCUGAGGCACGAAAGCGUGGGUAUCGAACAGG
RNAcentral lists this ribosomal RNA (253 nucleotides) under uncultured bacterium. RNAcentral's name for it is "partial 16S ribosomal RNA". It matches the Rfam family "Bacterial small subunit ribosomal RNA", at positions 524 to 776 of the family's 1533-position model. The record is from RNAcentral.